RNAcentral lists this ribosomal RNA (636 nucleotides) under Salmonella enterica. Its description in RNAcentral is "partial 23S ribosomal RNA". It matches the Rfam family "Bacterial large subunit ribosomal RNA", at positions 556 to 1191 of the family's 2925-position model. The record is from RNAcentral. Lineage: Bacteria; Pseudomonadati; Pseudomonadota; Gammaproteobacteria; Enterobacterales; Enterobacteriaceae.
CCGUGUACGUACAAGCAGUGGGAGCACAGGUUUACCUGUGUGACUGCGUACCUUUUGUAUAAUGGGUCAGCGACUUAUAUUCUGUAGCAAGGUUAACCGAAUAGGGGAGCCGGAGGGAAACCGAGUCUUAAUUGGGCGUUAAGUUGCAGGGUAUAGACCCGAAACCCGGUGAUCUAGCCAUGGGCAGGUUGAAGGUUGGGUAACACUAACUGGAGGACCGAACCGACUAAUGUUGAAAAAUUAGCGGAUGACCUGUGGCUGGGGGUGAAAGGCCAAUCAAACCGGGAGAUAGCUGGUUCUCCCCGAAAGCUAUUUAGGUAGCGCCUCGUGAAUUCAUCUCCGGGGGUAGAGCACUGUUUCGGCUAGGGGGCCAUCCCGGCUUACCAACCCGAUGCAAACUGCGAAUACCGGAGAAUGUUAUCACGGGAGACACACGGCGGGUGCUAACGUCCGUCGUGAAGAGGGAAACAACCCAGACCGCCAGCUAAGGUCCCAAAGUCAUGGUUAAGUGGGAAACGAUGUGGGAAGGCCCAGACAGCCAGGAUGUUGGCUUAGAAGCAGCCAUCAUUUAAAGAAAGCGUAAUAGCUCACUGGUCGAGUCGGCCUGCGCGGAAGAUGUAACGGGGCUAAACCAUG